Molecule: ribosomal RNA, 468 nt
Filed under: uncultured bacterium
Lineage: Bacteria
Description: partial 16S ribosomal RNA
Rfam family: Bacterial small subunit ribosomal RNA
Source: RNAcentral
GACGAACGCUGGCGGCGUGCUUAACACAUGCAAGUCGAACGGAAAGGCCCUGCUUUUGUGGGGUGCUCGAGUGGCGAACGGGUGAGUAACACGUGAGUAACCUGCCCUUGACUUUGGGAUAACUUCAGGAAACUGGGGCUAAUACCGGAUAGGAGCUCCUGCUGCAUGGUGGGGGUUGGAAAGUUUCGGCGGUUGGGGAUGGACUCGCGGCUUAUCAGCUUGUUGGUGGGGGAGUGGCUUACCAAGGCUUUGACGGGUAGCCGGCCUGAGAGGGUGACCGGCCACAUUGGGACUGAGAUACGGCCCAGACUCCUACGGGAGGCAGCAGUGGGGAAUAUUGCACAAUGGGCGGAAGCCUGAUGCAGCAACGCCGCGUGCGGGAUGACGACCUUCGGGUUGUAAACCGCUUUCGCCUGUGACGAAGCGUGAGUGACGGUAAUGGGUAAAGAAGCACCGGCUAACUACGUG